Long non-coding RNA from Homo sapiens (human), 428 nucleotides. RefSeq lists it as uncharacterized. NCBI's taxonomy places the organism in Eukaryota, Metazoa, Chordata, Mammalia, Primates, Hominidae. The record is from RefSeq and is a predicted model, not a curated record. The transcript has 3 exons.
AUCUUCUUCCACUGAGCGCACAGCUUCAGGAGGGACGCACAUGGAAACAAUGAGGGAGAAAAAGGGCACCCGCAUAGCCAGCCUGAUCAGCUGAAUUAAUUCUGGCCAUCAAUGGGGUGACAGAUGUCACAGCCAGAUCACCCUCACAUCCUAAAAAAUGGAAAACAGGAAGCAUCAGUGAAUUUUGGGUGCUCCCGGCAAACUGAAAUUUGCCUAUUGAAGCCCGAGAAUAUGUUCCCAAAGCAACAGGAACCACUGCUCUCAAACAUCAGAAAUACAAGGUGAUUAUCCUGAUGAUGGAGUUGCACCUGAGAAAAACACGAUCAUGCCAUGCAAGAUGGUCAUGGUCACCAUGACUGUCUGUCACAGUGGAUGGCACUUGUGUUUCGCUUGGAUUCUUGUACCUGCUGGAUGGUUGCCACACGAGG